AGUGAACGCUGGCGGUAGGCCUAACACAUGCAAGUCGAACGGAAGCACAGUAAGAGCUUGCUCUUACGGGUGGCGAGUGGCGGACGGGUGAGGAAUACAUCGGAAUCUACUUUUUCGUGGGGGAUAACGUAGGGAAACUUACGCUAAUACCGCAUACGACCUACGGGUGAAAGCAGGGGAUCUUCGGACCUUGCGCGAUUGAAUGAGCCGAUGUCGGAUUAGCUAGUUGGCGGGGUAAAGGCCCACCAAGGCGACGAUCCGUAGCUGGUCUGAGAGGAUGAUCAGCCACACUGGAACUGAGACACGGUCUAGACUCCUACGGGAGGCAGCAGUGGGGAAUAUUGGGCAAUGGGCGCAAGCCUGAUCCAGCCAUACCGCGUGGGUGAAGAAGGCCUUCGGGUUGUAAAGCCCUUUUGUUGGGAAAGAAAAGCAGCAUGUUAAUACCCCGCUGUUCUGACGGUACCCAAAGAAUAAGCACCGGCUAACUUCGUG
This 492-nucleotide ribosomal RNA is filed under the name uncultured bacterium. Its description in RNAcentral is "partial 16S ribosomal RNA". It matches the Rfam family "Bacterial small subunit ribosomal RNA", at positions 29 to 507 of the family's 1533-position model. The record is from RNAcentral.